AUCAACUUUCGAUGGUAGGAUAGAGGCCUACCAUGGUGGUAACGGGUAACGGGGUGUUAGGGCACGACACCGGAGAGGGAGCCUGAGAAACGGCUACCACAUCCAAGGAUGGCAGCAGGCGCGCAAAUUACCCAAUCCCGACACGGGGAGGUAGUGACAAUAAAUAACAAUACGGGGUUCUUUAGGAUCUCGUAAUUGGAAUGAGUACAAUUUAAAUCUCUUAACGAGGAACAAUUGGAGGGCAAGUCUGGUGCCAGCAGCCGCGGUAAUUCCAGCUCCAAUAGCGUAUAUUAAAGUUGUUGCAGUUAAAAAGCUCGUAGUUGAAUUUCGGGGUUAGUAGGUUGGUCAUGCCUCUGGUAUGUACUGGUUUCACUGAUUCCUCCUUCCUUAUGAACCGUAAUGCCAUUAAUUUGGUGUUGCGGGGAAUUUGGACUGUUACUUUGAAAAAAUUAGAGUGUUUAAAGCAAGCUAACGCUUGAAUACAUUAGCAUGGAAUAAUGAAAUAGGACGUUCGAUCUUAUUUUGUUGGUUUCUAGGAUUGACGUAAUGAUUAAUAGGGAUAGUUGGGGGCAUUAGUAUUCAAUUGUCAGAGGUGAAAUUCUUGGAUUUAUUGAAGACUAACUACUGCGAAAGCAUUUGCCAAGGAUGUUUUCAUUAAUCAAGAACGAAAGUUAGGGGAUCGAAGACGAUCAGAUACCGUCGUAGUCUUAACCAUAAACUAUGCCGACUAGGGAUCGGAUGAUGUUAAUUUUUUAAUGACUCAUUCGGCGCCUUACGGGAAACCAAAGUGUUUGGGUUC
RNAcentral lists this ribosomal RNA (799 nucleotides) under uncultured Glomus. RNAcentral's name for it is "SSU rRNA". It matches the Rfam family "Eukaryotic small subunit ribosomal RNA", at positions 314 to 1114 of the family's 1831-position model. Lineage: Eukaryota; Fungi; Glomeromycota; Glomeromycetes; Glomerales; Glomeraceae. The record is from RNAcentral.